Molecule: long non-coding RNA, 1074 nt
Filed under: Papio anubis (olive baboon)
Lineage: Eukaryota; Metazoa; Chordata; Mammalia; Primates; Cercopithecidae
Description: lncRNA (ENSPANG00000041154.1)
Source: RNAcentral
ACCCAGGAGCGGCCAGGCCAGUUGUGUCUCUCAUCCCAGUUCAACUAUGGGGGCGCAGGGCGCUUCGGUUCCUCCCUCAGGCGGUGCAAGAUCUCUAUUUGUCCGACCCUCCGAAGACCCGCUGCUCUUCAUCUCCCCAGGAGCCCCCUCCCUUGGACAGCCGCUUUUCUCACGAGGGUCCCCAAGCCCCUCCGAGCGUUUCCUCAGACGCCCCUACUUGGAGCAAGUCUGCUCCCUGUCACCCGGGACCCCAGCUACCCUCGGCCUUCCUACCUCCCUCGGACUGGGGCCACUCCCAGUUCCCCUGCCCCCCACCCCGCUCUCUCCACACGGGCCGCGGCCGGGCUUCCCGGGUUCCCCUUCUCCCUGACACCCAAGCCGUCCUGGGUAUUCCCGACACACCCCGCCCUCGGAGCAGGUCGUUACAGGUCACCCCCUUCUCUGGGACCCUGGCUGCUUCCGUUUCCUCAGAUAACCUACUCCCCACACACUGGCCGCCGGUCAGCGCCCCAGACCGGAGCAACUGGACGUCCCAAGGGACCUCCUGCCCUGACCCGCGUGGGUCCGGCCCUAGCCUACCUUCCUCGGGAGAACUCCGCAGCCAGAAGCCCAGCCAUUCUCCCCGUAGCCCAGUCAGCGCGAACUCGCCGCCACCCCCGCCGCCUCCGCCCUGGUCCCGGCCCCGGCCCCGGCCCAGACCCGAAGUCCAGGCCCCCUUCCUCCGACCUCCGCCUGCGGAGUGCUGAGCUGGAGAUUCCGCCCCGCGACGGCCACCAGAUCUCUUACCCGCGUUACCGGCACUCACCUGCCGCUGCCCCCGACCAACUCAAGCGCCACUGCCUCUACCUCGGCCGCCAGUGGCCACCAAGCGCCACCACCUCCCCCAUGACAACAGGCCCACCCUCUUUCAUACUUCUAACCUAUCCAUUGGAUAAUGGGGCGGCAGCUCUCCUCUCUGAUUGGCUUAAUUUACCCGCCCGUCAUCGCUCUUUACCGCCCCUUUUCCUAAACCCGGUAUUCGCCCCCGCCCGGACCUGGCGCGUCCUAGCCCAAGCUUUAGUUGUAGUUGGUUGA